CCGCAGAGUUAAAACCUUCAUCAAAUGAGCGCGACGGAGGGGAAUACGAGCAGCCCUGCGACUGUCCAGGGUGUAUCCUGCCUCUUGCCCUAAGACAGCUGGGAUAGGUGGAAGAGAAUGGAAGAGAAUGGAUGGAUGGAUGGUUUAUGUAUUACGAUGCAGCUCACAUACAUCAUGCAUUCAAUACCAUUGUAUCCGCAAUCCUGAGGGACAAGCAGGAGUACACAGGUGUCGACCAACACCACGUGGAUCCUGGACUACCUGGCAAGGUAGUCCAUACUGCCAUCAGUAUGUAAGGAUCUUCUACAGGUGCCCCACGGGGAACAGUUCUAUUCUAUUCUCCUUAUACACCACAAGACUUCACCUACAACUCUGAUCACUGCUUCCUGCAAAAGUUCUCAGAUGACUCAGCAGUUGUUGGUCUCAUUGCCGAUAACAGGGAGUACAGAGAAAUUACUUUGUUGACGGGUACCAGCGGAACCGCCUACAGAUCAGGUACGUCUGUACCUGAUCUGUAGGUACAGACGUACCUGAUCUGUACCUACACGACUUACACCCGUGAACAUCCAGGUAAUGGAUGCUGAGCGCAUCGACUUAUAUAAGUACCUAACACCCUAACUAGACUGGAUUAACAAUACAAAGGCCAUCUGCAGGAAAGGACAGAACAGGCUGUAUCUGCUAUGGAGACUCGGUUCUUUUGUAGAGCAGGGGCAUCUCUUGAGGACCUCCUAUGACUCUGUGGUUGCAUCGACCUCUGCACCUCUGCAGGGCAGCAGUAUCUGCUCUGGAGACAGGAAGAAAAUGAACUGGCUGAUCAAGAAGGCCAGCUCUGUUCUGGGAUGCUAGCGGAGGUGGUGGGUGACAGCAGAAUGGUGGCUAAGCUGUCAUCCCUGCUAGAGAACACCUCCCACCCCCAGGCAGGUCACCCUGACAGCACCGAGCAGCUCCUUCAGUGACAGGCUGCUGCACCCACGGUGUGCAAAGGAGAAAUAUCCGAGGUCUUCCUUUCCAGCUGCUGUCAGACUGUAUACGUGAAAAUGCACCACACACUGUACAUAUUUCAGUGUGGAUCUGAAAUGCCAAGUGUAUCACUGUAUCACAUCUACAUCUACAUAUCCAUAUAUUUAUAUGUAAAUAAUAUUUCUUCUGCCUUGUAUAGUGUACAUUUUUCUUCCGUUGUUGUUUCAUCUAUUUAUUCCUGGUCUCUUCGUUCUGCUGCUCUAGCAAUCUGAA
This is a long non-coding RNA of Pelmatolapia mariae (spotted tilapia), 1233 nucleotides long. RefSeq lists it as uncharacterized. The transcript has 3 exons. The record is from RefSeq and is a predicted model, not a curated record. Lineage: Eukaryota; Metazoa; Chordata; Actinopteri; Cichliformes; Cichlidae.